UCCCGUUGAUCCUGCGGGAGAUUGCUGCUAUUUGGAUUCGACUUAGCCAUGCAAGUCCAGGGGUCUCUUCGGAGGCACCGGCAAAAUGCUCAGUAACACGUUGUUAAUCUAACCUUAGGUCAAGGAUACCCUUGGAAAACUGAGGCUAAACCUUGAUAUGGGAGAAAUACUGGAAGGUUUUCUCCUUGAAAGGCAACGCCUAAGGAUGAGACAGCGGCUGAUUAGGCUGUUGGUGAGGUAACGGCUCACCAAACCAGAGAUCAGUACGGGCCAUGAAAGUGGAAGCCCGGAGAAGGGCACUGAGAUAAGGGCCCUAGCCCUACGGGGUGCAGCAGGCGCGAAAACUCUACAAUGCACGAAAGUGCGAUAGGGGAAUCCUAAGUGCUUAUGAUUUUAUCAUAGGCUUUUUGCGAGAGUAAAUAUCUCGUAGAAUAAGUGGUGGGUAAGACGGGUGCCAGCCGCCGCGGUAACACCUGCGCCACAAGUGGCAGUCAGCAUUAUUGGGCCUAAAGCGUUCGUAGCCGGACUGAAAAGUUCUCUGUGAAAUCAUCGAGCUAAACUCGAUGGCAUGCGGAGAAUACUCUCAGUCUAGGAACCGGGAAGAGUAUGAGGUAUUCUGGGGGGGGCGGUAAAAUGCUAUAAUCCUCAGAGGACCACCUAUGGCGAAGGCAUCAUACUGGAACGGAUUCGACGGUGAGGAACGAAAGCUAGGGGAGCGAUCCGGAUUAGAUACCCGAGUAGUCCUAGCCGUAAACGCUGUGAGCAAGGCGUUUCAAAUUUUAAGUGAAUUUGCAGUGUCGAAGAGAAGUCGAUAAGCUCACCGCCUGGGAAGUACGGUCGCAAGACUGAAACUUAAAGGAAUUGGCGGGGGAGCGCUACAAGAGGUGGAAUGUGCGGUUUAAUCUAACUCAACGCAGAGAGCCUCACCAGAAGCGACGGCAGGAUGAAAGUCAGAUUGAAGGUCUUACUUAACGAGCCGAGAGGUAGUGCAUGGCCGCCGUCAGCUCGUGCCGCAAGGUGUCCAGUUAAGUCUGGUAACGAGCAAGACCUGCAUCUACAGUUGCUAACGAGUUCUUUAGAAUGAUCGAGCACACUGUAGAGACUGCUAUGGAAACGUAGAGGAAGGUGCAGGCAACGGUAGGUCUGUAUGCUCCGAAUCUUCUGGGCGACACGCGCAUUACAAUGGCAGAGACAAUGGGCCACGACUCCGAAAGGAGAAGUUAAUCCUCGAAACUCUGUCUUAGUCCGGAUUGAGGGUUGCAACUCACCCUCAUGAAGCUGGAAUCUCUAGUAAUCACGUCUCAACAUGGCGUGGUGAAUACGUCCCCGCUCCUUGCACACACCGCCCGUCAAACCACUCGAGCAGGGUUUGAAUGAGAACCGAUUUUCUUGGUUAGUUCGAAUUCAAGCUCAGUGAGAUGGGUUAAGUCGUCACAAGGUA
This 1441-nucleotide ribosomal RNA is filed under the name metagenome. RNAcentral's name for it is "bacterial SSU rRNA". It matches the Rfam family "Archaeal small subunit ribosomal RNA". The record is from RNAcentral.